This 73-nucleotide transfer RNA is filed under the name Amblyraja radiata (thorny skate). RNAcentral's name for it is "tRNA-Thr". It matches the Rfam family "tRNA". From Rfam's summary of the family: Transfer RNA (tRNA) molecules are approximately 80 nucleotides in length. Their secondary structure includes four short double-helical elements and three loops (D, anti-codon, and T loops). Lineage: Eukaryota; Metazoa; Chordata; Chondrichthyes; Rajiformes; Rajidae. The record is from RNAcentral.
GUUAUGGUAGCCUAAAAAUUAAGGCGUUGGUCUUGUAAACCAAAAAUUGGAGGUGGGAUGCCUCCCCAAAACA